GUAAGUUGGGUAGUUAAUUUCGGGACUCUGCUCUUGAAUGGGCAAGAAAUCGAAUUGAAUGAUUUCUGGGUUCUGAGGAAGGUCCGCCCACCGAUUACAAGUCACUUUCCGAAAGGAUUGUUGCUGUGAAGCAAGGCUCUGUUACAGAAACGACACAGCUUUCGUUGAGUUAUGAAACAUGCGUGGAACUUCGAAGCGAAAGAUUUGAUGAAACGAACAUCCUGACUGGUGCAAGGCUUUAUGCCGCAUAGUCGAAUGUUAACGCGUUCGGUUCGAUCACGACGAACGACAGAAGGUGGCCUAUUCCCAACUUGC
This 315-nucleotide RNase P RNA is filed under the name archaeon. Its description in RNAcentral is "RNase P RNA component". It matches the Rfam family "Archaeal RNase P". Rfam says of the family: Ribonuclease P (RNase P) is a ubiquitous endoribonuclease, found in archaea, bacteria and eukarya as well as chloroplasts and mitochondria. Its best characterised activity is the generation of mature 5'-ends of tRNAs by cleaving the 5'-leader elements of precursor-tRNAs. Cellular RNase Ps are ribonucleoproteins. The record is from RNAcentral.